Molecule: ribosomal RNA, 253 nt
Filed under: uncultured bacterium
Lineage: Bacteria
Description: partial 16S ribosomal RNA
Rfam family: Bacterial small subunit ribosomal RNA
Source: RNAcentral
CACGUAGGGGACGAGCGUUGUCCGGAAUCAUUGGGCGUAAAGCGCGCGUAGGCGGCCCGGAAAGUCGGAUGUGAAAUCCCGGGGCUCAACCCCGGGCCUGCAUCCGAUACUACCGGGCUGGAGGCAGGUAGGGGAGAUCGGAAUUCCUGGUGUAGCGGUGAAAUGCGCAGAUAUCAGGAGGAACACCCGUGGCGAAGGCGGAUCUCUGGGCCGUGCCUGACGCUGAGGCGCGAAAGCUAGGGGAGCGAACGGG